Molecule: ribosomal RNA, 466 nt
Filed under: uncultured bacterium
Lineage: Bacteria
Description: bacterial SSU rRNA
Rfam family: Bacterial small subunit ribosomal RNA
Source: RNAcentral
GCCAGACUCCUACGGGAGGCAGCAGUGAGGAAUAUUGGUCAAUGGGCUUACGCCUGAACCAGCCAAGUCGCGUGAGGGAAGACUGCCCUAUGGGUUGUAAACCUCUUUUGUCAGGGAGCAAUUGGCGCUACGUGUAGUGUUAUCGAGAGUACCUGAAGAAAAAGCAUCGGCUAACUCCGUGCCAGCAGCCGCGGUAAUACGGAGGAUGCGAGCGUUAUCCGGAUUUAUUGGGUUUAAAGGGUGCGUAGGCGGAAUGCCAAGUCAGCGGUAAAAUCGCGGGGCUCAACCUCGCUCCGCCGUUGAAACUGGCGUUCUUGAGUGGGCGAGAAGUAUGCGGAAUGCGUGGUGUAGCGGUGAAAUGCAUAGAUAUCACGCAGAACUCCGAUUGCGAAGGCAGCAUACCGGCGCCCAACUGACGCUGAAGCACGAAAGCGUGGGUAUCGAACAGGAUUAGAUACCCUUGUAC